GUGGGGAAUAUUGGACAAUGGGGGCAACCCUGAUCCAGCAAUGCCGCGUGUGUGAAGAAGGUCUUCGGAUCGUAAAGCACUUUCGACGGGGACGAUGAUGACGGUACCCGUAGAAGAAGCCCCGGCUAACUUCGUGCCAGCAGCCGCGGUAAUACGAAGGGGGCUAGCGUUGCUCGGAAUUACUGGGCGUAAAGGGCGCGUAGGCGGCUCUGUUAGUCAGGCGUGAAAUUCCUGGGCUUAACCUGGGGACUGCGCUUGAUACUGCGGAGCUUGAGGCCGAGAGAGGGUGGUGGAAUUCCCAGUGUAGAGGUGAAAUUCGUAGAUAUUGGGAAGAACACCGGUGGCGAAGGCGACCACCUGGCUCGGUUCUGACGCUGAGGCGCGACAGCGUGGGGAGCAAACAGGAUUAGAAACCCGGGUAGUCC
This 425-nucleotide ribosomal RNA is filed under the name uncultured bacterium. RNAcentral's name for it is "partial 16S ribosomal RNA". It matches the Rfam family "Bacterial small subunit ribosomal RNA", at positions 354 to 796 of the family's 1533-position model. The record is from RNAcentral.